RNAcentral lists this long non-coding RNA (664 nucleotides) under Pan troglodytes (chimpanzee). Its description in RNAcentral is "long non-coding RNA NONPTRT014117". The record is from RNAcentral. Lineage: Eukaryota; Metazoa; Chordata; Mammalia; Primates; Hominidae.
CAGCAGCAAAGUGAAGACCUCUCUACCUCCCUCUCCAUUAAUUCCUCACUGGCAUGUUCAGGAUCUUGGCCUCACUCCAGUUCAAGGAGAUUGGAACCACCUGGACCAUCUGGAUAUCCCACAGAAGACCACACUGACCCAUUAUUACACUGAUGAUAUCAUGCUGAUUGGGCAAGACAAGCAAGAGGAAGGAAGGCCCACAGAAGUUGCUGUGUGAACAUGUGUGGAGAUGUGAAUCCAUAUAGCUCAAAGGGUGGACUGUGACACAUAUGAGAGCUACAAAUGAAGACUUAGGAGUGUUCAUCAAAUAAGGAGUUGCAAGAAGAACACAGAAACCAGAUUUAUUGUAUACAUGAAAAAAUAAAAAGUACUACUCAAGGGAGGAUGGCGCUCUGAAGGAAGACUGACAUGUUCCUGGAAGGAAAGGCUGAAAACUGGGGUCCAUAUGUGAUAUUUUCUCAUGUCAAUUCCUCUACAUUAACUCAGUUUCCUAAGUUGCACUGAUUCCAGUCUAGUAUUUUCUUAUAUUUUAAGUAAAUUUUUAUACUGAAGUAUAAUAUUGACACAGAAAUGUACAUAAAUCAUUAAGCAUACAGCUCAAUUAAUUUGUAAAAAGUGAGCACACCCAUAUAAUCACUGCCCACGCCUGGAAAUAGAACUCUAG